ACGGAAGGCAGCAGUGAGGAAUAUUGGUCAAUGGGCGAGAGCCUGAACCAGCCAAGUCGCGUGCGGGAUGAAGGCCCUACGGGUCGUAAACCGCUUUUGUACGGGAAUAAAAAAUCCCACGUGUGGGGUCUUGUAGGUACCGUAAGAAUAAGGAUCGGCUAACUCCGUGCCAGCAGCCGCGGUAAUACGGAGGAUCCGAGCGUUAUCCGGAUUUAUUGGGUUUAAAGGGUGCGCAGGCGGGCUAGUAAGUCUCCGGUGAAAUGUAAGGGCUCAACCUUGGCACUGCCGGAGAUACUGUUGGCCUUGAGAGUGGCGGAGGUAUCCGGAAUGUGUGGUGUAGCGGUGAAAUGCAUAGAUAUCACACAGAACACCGAUUGCGAAGGCAGAAUACUAUACCAUAUCUGACGCUCAGGCACGAAAGCGUGGGGAUCGAACAGGAUUAGAUACCCUGGUA
This 454-nucleotide ribosomal RNA is filed under the name uncultured Paludibacter sp. Its description in RNAcentral is "partial 16S ribosomal RNA". It matches the Rfam family "Bacterial small subunit ribosomal RNA", at positions 341 to 792 of the family's 1533-position model. Lineage: Bacteria; Pseudomonadati; Bacteroidota; Bacteroidia; Bacteroidales; Paludibacteraceae. The record is from RNAcentral.